RNAcentral lists this transfer RNA (71 nucleotides) under Eriocaulon nepalense. Its description in RNAcentral is "tRNA-Gly". It matches the Rfam family "tRNA". From Rfam's summary of the family: Transfer RNA (tRNA) molecules are approximately 80 nucleotides in length. Lineage: Eukaryota; Viridiplantae; Streptophyta; Magnoliopsida; Poales; Eriocaulaceae. The record is from RNAcentral. RNAcentral also lists the same sequence under 2 other names.
GCGGAUAUGGUCGAAUGGUACAAUUUCUCUUUGCCAAGGAGAAGAUGCGGGUUCGAUUCCCGCUAUCCGCC